Molecule: ribosomal RNA, 257 nt
Filed under: uncultured bacterium
Lineage: Bacteria
Description: partial 16S ribosomal RNA
Rfam family: Bacterial small subunit ribosomal RNA
Source: RNAcentral
GUAAUACGUAGGUGGCAAGCGUUCUCCGGAAUUAUUGGGCGUAAAGGGAACGCAGGCGGUCUCUUAAGUCUGAUGUGAAAGCCUUCGGCUUAACCGGAGUAGGGCAUUGGAAACUGGGGAACUUGAGUGCAGAAGAGGAGAGUGGAAUUCCAUGUGUAGCGGUGAAAUGCGUAGAUAUAUGGAAGAACACCAGUGGCGAAAGCGGCUCUCUGGUCUGUAACUGACGCUGAGGUGCGAAAGCGUGGGUAGCAAACAGG